CCUACGGGAGGCAGCAGUGGGGAAUAUUGGACAAUGGGCGAAAGCCUGAUCCAGCCAUGCCGCGUGUGUGAAGAAGGCCUUCGGGUUGUAAAGCACUUUCAGUGGGGAAGAAAGCCUUGGGGCUAAUACCCUCGAGGAAGGACAUCACCCACAGAAGAAGCACCGGCUAACUCCGUGCCAGCAGCCGCGGUAAUACGGAGGGUGCGAGCGUUAAUCGGAAUUACUGGGCGUAAAGCGCGCGUAGGCGGUCUGAUAAGCCGGUUGUGAAAGCCCCGGGCUCAACCUGGGAACGGCAUCCGGAACUGUCAGGCUAGAGUGCAGGAGAGGAAGGUAGAAUUCCCGGUGUAGCGGUGAAAUGCGUAGAGAUCGGGAGGAAUACCAGUGGCGAAGGCGGCCUUCUGGACUGACACUGACGCUGAGGUGCGAAAGCGUGGGUAGCAAACAGGAUUAGAUACCCGUGUGC
This 463-nucleotide ribosomal RNA is filed under the name Vreelandella stevensii. Its description in RNAcentral is "partial 16S ribosomal RNA". It matches the Rfam family "Bacterial small subunit ribosomal RNA", at positions 338 to 794 of the family's 1533-position model. The record is from RNAcentral. Lineage: Bacteria; Pseudomonadati; Pseudomonadota; Gammaproteobacteria; Oceanospirillales; Halomonadaceae.